This 251-nucleotide ribosomal RNA is filed under the name uncultured prokaryote. Its description in RNAcentral is "partial 16S rRNA". It matches the Rfam family "Bacterial small subunit ribosomal RNA", at positions 525 to 775 of the family's 1533-position model. The record is from RNAcentral.
ACGGAGGGUGCGAGCGUUAAUCGGAAUCACUGGGCGUAAAGCGCACGUAGGCGGUGUCGUAAGUCGGAUGUGAAAGCCCUCGGCUCAACCGGGGAACUGCAUUCGAUACUGCGAUGCUUGAGUGCCGGAGAGGGUGGCGGUAUUCCAGGUGUAGGGGUGAAAUCCUAAGAUAUCUGGAGGAGCACCUGUGGCGAAGGCGGCUACCUGGCCGGCACCUGACGCUGAGGUGCGAAAGCGUGGGGAUCAAACAG